Molecule: ribosomal RNA, 443 nt
Filed under: uncultured bacterium
Lineage: Bacteria
Description: partial 16S ribosomal RNA
Rfam family: Bacterial small subunit ribosomal RNA
Source: RNAcentral
CCUACGGUGUGCAGCAGUGGGGAAUAUUGGGCAAUGGGCGCAAGCCUGACCCAGCAACGCCGCGUGAAGGAAGAAGGCUUUCGGGUUGUAAACUUCUUUUCUGAGGGACGAAGAAAGUGACGGUACCUCAGGAAUAAGCCACGGCUAACUACGUGCCAGCAGCCGCGGUAAUACGUAGGUGGCAAGCGUUAUCCGGAUUUAUUGGGUGUAAAGGGCGUGUAGGCGGGAAAGCAAGUCAGAUGUGAAAACUCAGGGCUCAACCCUGAGCCUGCAUUUGAAACUUGCAAACUGGAGUGUUUGAGAGGAUAGUGGAAUUCCAGGGUUAGGAGUGAAAUCCGUAGAUAUCUGGAGGAACAUCAGUGGCGAAGGCGACUAUCUGGCACAUAACUGACGCUGAGGAGCGAAAGCGUGGGUAGCAAACAGGAUUAGAUACCCGGGUAGUC